RNAcentral lists this ribosomal RNA (384 nucleotides) under Triticum aestivum (bread wheat). RNAcentral's name for it is "partial small subunit ribosomal RNA". Lineage: Eukaryota; Viridiplantae; Streptophyta; Magnoliopsida; Poales; Poaceae. The record is from RNAcentral.
AUGCGGGCAGCAUGUUUGGUGGUGUUAGCCCAGAAAAGGCAGAGGGCGGCAUGCGCCAGCGACGGGAGGCAUCUCCCACUGGGUCUGCGCAGUGAACUGACAGGGUCAACCCAGAGGCGCCCGGAUGGACAAAGAGUGCUCAGGGGACUCGAUGAAGUGGACUGGGAUUACAUCAGCAUGAUGAUGAACUCUGAUUUGAUGGACUACAGAAUUGAUUGGCUGAAGAAAGUAAAGGUGUUGGAUGCGGUAACUGAAGAUGUACCGAAUGGUAUGCUUCAUUGUGAUAGAUUUCUAACUUUUUUGUUGAAUUCAAUUUCAGUUCAUGUUCCCAGUGCUCUUCAUGGAUGUAGGACCCAGAUAAGCUCCGUGCCUAGUUGUCGUUAG